GGUUGAGCCACAUCUAAGCAGGGUUCACCUGUGGCAGAAGACUCUUCUUGUAACUCUGAGGUAGACGCUGCAGAAGGGCGCUUGCGAAUUGGUGGUUGAGUUGCUAAUGUUGCAUUAUCUAGACUUUCUGCAUUUUGAGGUGGUAUUAUGUGCUUUCCACUGUUGCUAGAUACAUCUGUAUCUUGCAUCUCUGCAUCAGCUGAAGGUUCCUCUGGCUUUGUUUUCUGCAUUUUGAGGUGUUGUUAUGUGCUUCCCACUGUUGCUGGAUACAUCCGUAUCUUGCAUCUCUACAUCAGCAGAAGGUUCUUCUGGCUUUGUAAUGCGAGGUCGAACCAACCUCCUUCCUGUUUUACGAGUUUCAGAGGUCAUCUUUGAUAAAACAACUUUUCCCACCACAGAAGUGGAAGUCAACAAGCUAGCUUGU
This 424-nucleotide long non-coding RNA is filed under the name Nicotiana benthamiana. RNAcentral describes it as "long non-coding RNA (NBEN_LNC025317)". The record is from RNAcentral. Lineage: Eukaryota; Viridiplantae; Streptophyta; Magnoliopsida; Solanales; Solanaceae.